Molecule: long non-coding RNA, 354 nt
Organism: Hyalella azteca
Lineage: Eukaryota; Metazoa; Arthropoda; Malacostraca; Amphipoda; Hyalellidae
Exons: 3
Source: RefSeq, a predicted model, not a curated record
GCCUUGCGAAGGCCGACCCUGGCAACGCCAAUAACUACAUCGAUCUGGUCCUCUUCGAGCUAAACAAGCUGUUGCCUCCGCGAAUUGACCUGCCCGACAUCGGAGGUACGUUCGACCUGCACGACUGCUACGUAUUCGGCCUGGACAACGGUGUGCACAGGUCGGGGGAUGCAACGAUGGUCACGGUCGAGGAAACUGUCAAGUUCUCGGCCGCCUUCUAUAUGAAAGAUUUGGGACUUACCUGCACCUGGAAAUAUAUGCUGAUGAGGGGAGACGCAGGAGGCUCGACGGCCCUCGUGGACAUCUCGUCAGCCAUCUCCCUGCAGCUCACGUCUGGCAGCAGCCCUCAGCUUA